RNAcentral lists this ribosomal RNA (253 nucleotides) under uncultured bacterium. RNAcentral's name for it is "partial 16S ribosomal RNA". It matches the Rfam family "Bacterial small subunit ribosomal RNA", at positions 524 to 776 of the family's 1533-position model. The record is from RNAcentral.
UACGUAGGGUGCAAGCGUUAAUCGGAAUUACUGGGCGUAAAGGGCGCGUAGGCGGCCUUCUAAGUCGAACGUGAAAUCCCUGGGCUCAACCCAGGAACUGCGUCCGAUACUGGAAGGCUUGAAUCCGGGAGAGGGAUGCGGAAUUCCAGGUGUAGCGGUGAAAUGCGUAGAUAUCUGGAGGAACACCGGUGGCGAAGGCGGCAUCCUGGACCGGUAUUGACGCUGAGGCGCGAAAGCCAGGGGAGCAAACGGG